This 465-nucleotide ribosomal RNA is filed under the name uncultured bacterium. RNAcentral's name for it is "partial 16S ribosomal RNA". It matches the Rfam family "Bacterial small subunit ribosomal RNA", at positions 338 to 795 of the family's 1533-position model. The record is from RNAcentral.
CCUACGGGAGGCUGCAGUGGGGAAUUUUGGACAAUGGGCGCAAGCCUGAUCCAGCUAUUCCGCGUGUGGGAAGACGGCCUUCGGGUUGUAAACCACUUUUGUAGAGGACGAAAAGUCUGUUGAUAAUACCGAUAGAUGAUGACGGUACUCUAAGAAUAAGCACCGGCUAACUACGUGCCAGCAGCCGCGGUAAUACGUAGGGUGCGAGCGUUAAUCGGAAUUACUGGGCGUAAAGGGUGUGCAGGCGGUGUUGCAAGAUGGAUGUGAAAGCCCCGGGCUUAACCUGGGAAAGCCAUACAUGACUGCAAGACUAGAGUGCGUCAGAGGGGGGUGGAAUUCCAAGUGUAGCAGUGAAAUGCGUAGAUAUUUGGAAGAACACCGAUGGCGAAGGCAGCCCCCUGGGACGCAACUGACGCUCAUACACGAAAGCGUGGGGAUCGAACAGGAUUAGAUACCCCUGUAGUC